GUGGGGGAUAUUGCACAAUGGAGGAAACUCUGAUGCAGCGACGCCGCGUGAGUGAAGAAGUAUUUCGGUAUGUAAAGCUCUAUCAGCAGGGAAGAUAAUGACAGUACCUGACUAAGAAGCCCCGGCUAACUACGUGCCAGCAGCCGCGGUAAUACGGAGGGGGCAAGCGUUAUCCGGAUUUACUGGGUGUAAAGGGAGCGUAGACGGAAUGGCAAGUCUGAAGUGAAAUCCUGCGGCUUAACUGCAGAAUUGCUUUGGAAACUGUCAAUCUGGAGUGUUGGAGAGGUAAGCGGAAUUCCUGGUGUAGCGGUGAAAUGCGUAGAUAUCAGGAAGAACACCGGGGGCGAAGGCGGCUUACUGGACGAUAACUGACGUUGAGGCUCGAAAGCGUGGGAAGCAAACAGGAUUAGAUACCCUUGUAGUCC
This 425-nucleotide ribosomal RNA is filed under the name uncultured bacterium. RNAcentral's name for it is "partial 16S ribosomal RNA". It matches the Rfam family "Bacterial small subunit ribosomal RNA", at positions 354 to 796 of the family's 1533-position model. The record is from RNAcentral.